UACGUAGGGUGCAAGCGUUAUCCGGAAUGAUUGGGCGUAAAGCGUCUGUAGGUGGCUUUUUAAGUCUGCCGUCAAAUCCCAGGGCUUAACCCUGGACAGGCGGUGGAAACUACCAAGCUGGAGUACGGUAGGGGCAGAGGGAAUUUCCGGUGGAGCGGUGAAAUGCGUAGAGAUCGGAAAGAACACCGAUGGCGAAGGCACUUUACUGGGCUAUUACUAACACUCAGAGACGAAAGCUAGGGUAGCAAAUGGG
This 253-nucleotide ribosomal RNA is filed under the name uncultured bacterium. RNAcentral describes it as "partial 16S ribosomal RNA". It matches the Rfam family "Bacterial small subunit ribosomal RNA", at positions 524 to 776 of the family's 1533-position model. The record is from RNAcentral.